Non-coding RNA from Mycena latifolia, 88 nucleotides. Lineage: Eukaryota; Fungi; Basidiomycota; Agaricomycetes; Agaricales; Mycenaceae. The record is from the annotation of a GenBank genome assembly.
GGCCGUAUGGCUUAGGGGUUAUAGCGCGAGAUAGUCGUGCCUUUUCCUGACAGGUCCCUUCGCGUGGGUUCGACUCCCACUACGACCA